UGGGGAACCUGCCCCAUAGUCUGGGAUACCACUUGGAAACAGGUGCUAAUACCGGAUAAGAAAGCAGAUCGCAUGAUCAGCUUUUAAAAGGCGGCGUAAGCUGUCGCUAUGGGAUGGCCCCGCGGUGCAUUAGCUAGUUGGUAAGGUAAAGGCUUACCAGGGCGAUGAUGCAUAGCCGAGUUGAGAGACUGAUGGCCACAUUGGGACUGAGACACGGCCCAAACUCCUACGGGAGGCAGCAGGA
This 244-nucleotide ribosomal RNA is filed under the name uncultured Lactobacillus sp. RNAcentral describes it as "partial 16S ribosomal RNA". It matches the Rfam family "Bacterial small subunit ribosomal RNA", at positions 118 to 354 of the family's 1533-position model. Lineage: Bacteria; Bacillati; Bacillota; Bacilli; Lactobacillales; Lactobacillaceae. The record is from RNAcentral.